UCGAGAAUUGAAAUACCAUUGCUUCGCAUUCGAGCAUAAUGAUUCAAAAUAUGGAUAGUGAGCAUGCAAUUUACUAUUGUUUUAGCAAUGAUUAUAUCAACAACAUCAUAGAACAUCAGUACCAAUUCAAUCGAGGGGAUCUGGCCCAGUAUUAUGUAUCCUUUCUAAGGUUAUUUGUGUGCUCUUUUAAAUAAUUUCUGUUUGGAAACUUGGGCCUUCUUUUUGUUCAUUUGUGAUAAGCCAAGUGGUUUUGCUGGUUAAUUUCUGUUAUAACAAUUUCUUGUUAGUUAGCUCUUAAGUUGUAAUUAUCAGCUUACUCUUUAUUGUUACAACCUUCUCUAAAAGAAAGGGGCUGGUCUCAGAAGUUCAGUACAUUUGCAAAAACUUCUGAGACCCAUUCUUGAUUCUUUCA
Molecule: long non-coding RNA, 412 nt
Organism: Cannabis sativa
Lineage: Eukaryota; Viridiplantae; Streptophyta; Magnoliopsida; Rosales; Cannabaceae
Exons: 2
Source: RefSeq, a predicted model, not a curated record